Dorea longicatena CAG:42 is the source of this 115-nucleotide non-coding RNA. Lineage: Bacteria; Bacillati; Bacillota; Clostridia; Lachnospirales; Lachnospiraceae. The record is from Rfam.
AAGCGAAGAAGUAAGGUGUUGUGCCAAAGGAUUAAUGCCUUGCGAGUUUUAUAAGGGUUUGGCAUUUACCACAAUCUGGCUAGAGAAUGCAGACUCUCAAAAGAAAAUGCCAGAG